CCUAGAAUUCGCAGCGUUGGUGCUCGCAGCGCGGUUCACGCGCUGCAGUUCAACGGGAAGCAGGAGGCGCUGGCCGCACCGGCCAAAGCCAACCUGCGCUGCCCCCGCAACGGUAAGCGGCGGAACCCAUUCAAGGUUCCACCUUCAUUACAGUGAGCCACUGGGCCCGCCUGAUCGGCAGGCCCGGGAAGGCGAUGAAGGUUCCCCCCGCCAGCCCGGAUACCGGCCAACACGGUGGCCGCUCG
Molecule: non-coding RNA, 245 nt
Filed under: Variovorax sp.
Lineage: Bacteria; Pseudomonadati; Pseudomonadota; Betaproteobacteria; Burkholderiales; Comamonadaceae
Source: RNAcentral